This 274-nucleotide ribosomal RNA is filed under the name uncultured bacterium. RNAcentral describes it as "partial 16S ribosomal RNA". It matches the Rfam family "Bacterial small subunit ribosomal RNA", at positions 523 to 796 of the family's 1533-position model. The record is from RNAcentral.
CUACGGAGGGUGCAAGCGUUAUCCGGAAUCAUUGGGUUUAAAGGGUCCGUAGGCGGAUAAUUAAGUCAGGGGUGAAAUCCCACAGCUCAACUAUGGCACUGCCUUUGAUACUGGUUAUCUUGAGUUAUAGGGAAGUAGAUAGAAUAUGUAGUGUAGCGGUGAAAUGCAUAGAUAUUACAUAGAAUACCGAUUGCGAAGGCAGUCUACUAUCUGUAUGCUGACGCUAAGGGACGAAAGCGUGGGGAGCGAACAGGAUUAGAAACCCUAGUAGUCC